This 327-nucleotide long non-coding RNA is filed under the name Phoenix dactylifera (date palm). Its description in RNAcentral is "long non-coding RNA (PDAC_LNC019840)". The record is from RNAcentral. Lineage: Eukaryota; Viridiplantae; Streptophyta; Magnoliopsida; Arecales; Arecaceae.
UUACAUAGCACUUAUUAUUAUUGUUAUGCACAUAUUUUAAAUAUUAACAGAAGAAAAUGUGUUUCCCCUCGUCAUUGCAUUUUAAUAAAUUAUCAGAGGUAAUUCAAGUUUGGUUUAAUUUUCUAUAUUGAUUUAGUCUAAUGUGUGUGCAGGUCGAGUCACCCCAUUCACGAAUUAGUCCCAAUUAGUUCCAUGUGUUGAUUGCUUUCUUCCCCAUUUGCAUGAAGUUACCCAUCCCUUUGUCCACGUCAUCUUUUCCGUGUGCACCAAGCUUCCCAACUUAACAAAACAGAGGCCUCUCCCAUUUUCUCCACGUAUCCACACUUU